This 328-nucleotide ribosomal RNA is filed under the name uncultured soil bacterium. RNAcentral's name for it is "bacterial SSU rRNA". It matches the Rfam family "Bacterial small subunit ribosomal RNA", at positions 26 to 359 of the family's 1533-position model. The record is from RNAcentral.
AGAUUGAACGCUAGCGGGAUGCUUUACACAUGCAAGUCGAACGGCAGCGCGGACUUCGGUCUGGCGGCGAGUGGCGAACGGGUGAGUAAUAUAUCGGAACGUGCCCAGUAGCGGGGGAUAACUACGCGAAAGCGUGGCUAAUACCGCAUACGCCCUACGGGGGAAGGGGGGAUCUUCGGAACCUCUCACUAUUGGAGCGGCCGAUAUCAGAUUAGCUAGUUGGUGAGGUAAAGGCUCACCAAGGCGACGACCUGUAGCUGGUUUGAGAGGACGACCAGCCACACUGGGACUGAGACACGCCCAGACUCCUACGGGAGCAGCAGUGGGG